This 114-nucleotide non-coding RNA is filed under the name Curvibacter sp. RNAcentral's name for it is "Glycine sequence". It matches the Rfam family "Glycine riboswitch aptamer". From Rfam's summary of the family: This family represents the bacterial glycine riboswitch. Glycine riboswitches usually consist of two metabolite-binding aptamers domains with similar structures in tandem. The record is from RNAcentral. Lineage: Bacteria; Pseudomonadati; Pseudomonadota; Betaproteobacteria; Burkholderiales; Comamonadaceae.
CCAGAGCACUCUGAAGAGCUGCCGUGGACUAGUCCCCACGGCACACCGCAGGAGCAAGCCGUUGGCCCACAAGGCUGGCGGUGAAUCUCUCAGGUCUCAAACAGAGGGGGUCGU